GAUCCUGGCUCAGGAUGAACGCUAGCUACAGGCUUAACACAUGCAAGUCGAGGGGCGGCGGGAUUGAAGCUUGCUUCAAUUGCCGGCGACCGGCGCACGGGUGAGUAACGCGUAUCCAACCUUCCGUACACUCAGGGAUAGCCUUUCGAAAGAAAGAUUAAUACCGGAUAGUAUCGAGAGAUUGCAUGAUUACCCGAUUAAAGAUUCAUCGGUAACGGAUGGGGAUGCGUUCCAUUAGGCAG
Molecule: ribosomal RNA, 242 nt
Filed under: uncultured bacterium
Lineage: Bacteria
Description: partial 16S ribosomal RNA
Rfam family: Bacterial small subunit ribosomal RNA
Source: RNAcentral